RNAcentral lists this ribosomal RNA (512 nucleotides) under uncultured bacterium. RNAcentral's name for it is "partial 16S ribosomal RNA". It matches the Rfam family "Bacterial small subunit ribosomal RNA", at positions 28 to 523 of the family's 1533-position model. The record is from RNAcentral.
GACGAACGCUGGCGGCGUGCCUAAUACAUGCAAGUCGAGCGGAUUGAUGGGAGCUUGCUCCCUGAUAUCAGCGGCGGACGGGUGAGUAACACGUGGGCAACCUGCCUAUAAGACUGGGAUAACUUCGGGAAACCGGAGCUAAUACCGGAUAAUCCCUUUCCUCUCAUGAGGAAAGGCUGAAAGAUGGUUUACGCUAUCACUUAUAGAUGGGCCCGCGGCGCAUUAGCUAGUUGGUGAGGUAACGGCUCACCAAGGCAACGAUGCGUAGCCGACCUGAGAGGGUGAUCGGCCACACUGGGACUGAGAAACGGCCCAGACUCCUACGGGAGGCAGCAGUAGGGAAUCUUCCGCAAUGGACGAAAGUCUGACGGAGCAACGCCGCGUGAGUGAUGAAGGUUUUCGGAUCGUAAAACUCUGUUGUUAGGGAAGAACAAGUACGAGAGUAACUACUCGUACCUUGACGGUACCUAACCAGAAAGCCACGGCUAACUACGUGCCAGCAGCCGCGGUAA